UUUUAGGUAAGUAACAAGUUCUUAUAGGGAUAUAACAUUCUCUAUGUGCAGGAUGGCUUUACUUUGGCUUGGAGAUACAAUACUGCCACUACGUUAUCAUACGGCUGCGUCACUUCACUUACAGAGUCUCUUUAUAUGUUGGAGCUAGCAGACUCUUUUCUGGUUCCAUGGACAAUUCUCUAAAUCAAAACAGUUCAUGCCAAUGAAAUUUCAGGUAAUAGAUUCUGAUAGAUUCUGAUUUCAGUUGUUCGACCUUCAAUGGUGCCUAUCUUGAGAAAGCAGUUGCAUACAAAGAUAAUUUCUCAGGUAGUCUCUCUCAGUUGUACCAUCACGUAGCCUUCGUGUUGUUGUGACACUGGGUUAUGUGUAUCGUGUUUAAUAAAUCUCAAAUGUUUUCUCUUUAGUAUGAAACUAGAGUGAGUAGUGAAGGCCAGUUAUGAAAUCACUAUGACCAGUAGAUACUAGAUAGUUAUCAUUUUUGCUUUAGUUUAAAACUAUGUUGUAUCUUGAUAGCUAACUCCAAGUUUAGCUAUCUAUGAUACAAUGAAGAGCUUGAAAAGUCCGGUUGGGACACAUUGUGUUAGGCUUGCCUAAAACCUUGCAGGUUUUCUUCUUGCUGCCGCUGAAAAGGUACUCUUUAUUUCACUUUCUUUUAAAGCAUGUGGAAACCAAAUUGAUCUUAUAUGCUAGCUAGACUCUAAGGAACUUGAAGUUGAAUUAUUGUUUUCUGUGAAAGGGUCAACAGUUUGUGAUGCCAUUGUUAAGGAUCGCUCUCCAGUCACCUGCUGGUGCAGCUCGUGGUCAGCUGGUGCAGCUAUAAGCCGCUUAUCUCUAUGGACUAUAAAAAAUAUUUUUCCUCUCUUAUAGUAACAUGGUAAAGCUAUAUAUACACUUGCAAAAUUCUUUCUGGCUGAUGAUAUUCAAAAUGAAGAGCUUUCAAGGAUAAGAGAUUACCUCUUCAACUAACUAGCCAAAAAUACAGGACAGCCUGCGGAAAAGGAUCUUCAAAGAUUUGAGCAGAUUGAAAAGGUUCAACUCAGAAGAAGCUAUAGAGUACGGACUUAUCAUUGUUAGACCACCGCGCAUCAAAGACGAGGCUCCUCUCCAAGAUGAAACCUCAGGUCUCGGUUAAUCUGCUUUAUUAACAUUUUGUAAUGUCAAAGUCUUACAAGCUUGGAGUUGUUGUUCUUUGUACGAUUGUUACCAAAUAAAAUCAUUUAUGUAUAUAGAGUUAAUUAAUUAUCAUUGGAUCUUGAAACCAGUUACAAGUUCAAAAGUUUUUUUAUUUA
Brassica napus (rape) is the source of this 1289-nucleotide long non-coding RNA. RefSeq lists it as uncharacterized. The record is from RefSeq and is a predicted model, not a curated record. The transcript has 4 exons. Lineage: Eukaryota; Viridiplantae; Streptophyta; Magnoliopsida; Brassicales; Brassicaceae.